GAAAUUUUAGUACAAAAGAUAAUUAACAGUCAAACAAAGUUUUGUAGUUUGCAAUGGAUCCUUUAUCAUUGGAAAAAGUUUAGUCAUUGUCAGACACUUUUCUAAUAAUGGCUUCAGCGCAAGCAGGAAUUAAUUCAGCCCCAGCUUCUGUUACAGAUGAGGUCAUGAAGGGACGUUGAUCAAUUUUAACACCAGGAUUAAUGAACAUAUAUUCAUCCCAUAGUCUCUGGGGUGUACAAUUUUAACAUUUAGGCUUAAAAGACCAAAAUUCUAACCAAUUCUGCCCUAAAACUCCCCACCAACUCAGGGAGAUGUUCUCUAGAGGAGCUUGAGCCAUAUUAUCAGGUGAUUUUAGGAAGGAUAAAACAUUACUCAGAAAACCAAAUUUUCCUCAAAACCUCCGGAGGAGAAAAGAUGGUGAGAGCUAUUUAAGGCUCUUCUGCUGCCACAUGUCACACGUUGUGACGCACUCUGUCAGCGUGGUUACACAACACCACCACCUCCUCAAACACAGCCGCCUUUCCAUGGAGGGCCUGUGCCCCCCCUGCCACUCCCUGGCCCCCCACCAUGCUAAAAGCAAAGGAAUAAAACUCUGCUGAUAUCUGUCAAACCCAUCAAUUGUGAAGCAGUGAUGCAUUCUUCCCUCCCUACAGACUUCUUGUCUCUCUUUGGCACAUAAAACCAUUGCUGUGAUCAAAACACAAUUGCUAUUUUAUUUGUGUUAAUUAUUUACUGACAUUUGAUUUGGAGUUCUAGAGAAGUACUAGAGGAUGAUGGCAUUGCAGAGGAGAGAAUCUAUCCAGCAGUUGUUCCACCUCCUGGCACCAGAGCAUGAAGCUAUAGAGAGAAGGCAGAUAAGCUGCACAUCCAGUUUUGCAUACAGCCCUUCUGCAGCCUCGCACUUGUGAGCAGCCCAGUUUCAAUUUUCCUUGAGUGCAGCCAUUUUUGCUAGCUGGUGAUCCCAGGCAGCUGUGUAAGCAAGAGGGCAGAAAGCCCUGUUCCAGAAGGCAUCCCACAUGGACACAACUCCUGCUGCAGAUUGCCCCAUGAAGGAGCUUCUCUCUUCAUUAACUCCAAGGAAAGCUGAGAAAGACAGGCUGGCUUUUCAGGGAGUAUUACCCAUCUUGCAGUUAUCUGCACAAAACAUUCCAAAAGUUCCAGGACCUGCCUAUUCAACACUUAUUUGCAAACACUGUGAAGUUCAUAAAAGCACAAUUCUCCUUUAGUUCUUGUGAAAAGUUUAACAAGGCAAAAUUAAUUUGGUAAGUACUGCGAAGUAUUUUAUUUUCAAACACACAUUUGUGUUUGAAAUUCGCUUUUGGGGGUUAAAGAGGAGGUGAAAGUUGAGAGGUGAUAGCUGAAGAAUGUACUGACUAUAGUGGUGCUAAUUAGGAACUUUCGUGCUGGUCUUUCCUUUGGGAAAUUCGUAAAUCACCUGAAACAAAGACUACAUCAAAGACUAACAAUUUUAAAAAGCAAUCAAAUUAAAAGAAUUCUACAUGGACUUCCAUCUAGACAGCACAAAUGUACCUCUCACGAUGUAGGUUGUACAUAUAUAAACAGAUGCCCUUAGCAGACCCACACUUAUACUGAAGUGUUAUGAACUUUAUGGCAAAGUAAAGCUGGUGUGCAAGAUUUUAAGGAAACAGACUCCAGUGUUAAAUAGAAAACCAC
Cyanistes caeruleus (blue tit) is the source of this 1674-nucleotide non-coding RNA. The record is from RefSeq and is a predicted model, not a curated record. NCBI's taxonomy places the organism in Eukaryota, Metazoa, Chordata, Aves, Passeriformes, Paridae.